This is a long non-coding RNA of Lontra canadensis (Northern American river otter), 215 nucleotides long. RefSeq lists it as uncharacterized. Lineage: Eukaryota; Metazoa; Chordata; Mammalia; Carnivora; Mustelidae. The record is from RefSeq and is a predicted model, not a curated record. The transcript has 3 exons.
AGGAAGAAAAACCAGACUCUGAAAGUUUUCAGAGAUUGCCUACAGGAUCUGGAAGAGGUUCAGGACCUGUUCUCCCUUCUGCAAAGCCACCUGGCGAGGCUCUCUGACCAGGGCGGCUUUCACCAGUUCUUACGUCAAGCAGCCCCUGGGCAGGUGCACCGAGGGGCGCCAGCUGGAGCCGGUCAGCCAUGCAGGGAGCCUCUGGAAGACGUUGC